This 256-nucleotide long non-coding RNA is filed under the name Cucumis sativus (cucumber). RNAcentral's name for it is "long non-coding RNA (CSAT_LNC002974)". Lineage: Eukaryota; Viridiplantae; Streptophyta; Magnoliopsida; Cucurbitales; Cucurbitaceae. The record is from RNAcentral.
UUCACAUCUAGCCACUGGGCGGUCCGAUUCUUAGUGAUCUCGAAGUUUCUUACCCACAAAAGGCGAACGGUGAUGCCCUAGACUCAGUUUCUUGGUUCCGUCCCAAAACGCCGGAGAAAGGCAUAAUGGCCUAGGAAGGAACGACCAGACUCAGAACGGGGUCGGAGGCCUCGAAAGUUCACAUCUAACCACUGGGCGGUCGUAUUCUGAGUGAUCUUGAAGUUUCUUGCCCACAAAAGGGGAAAGGUGAUGGCCC